GACGAACGCUGGCGGCGUGCUUAACACAUGCAAGUCGAACGGUAAGGCCCUUCGGGGUACACGAGUGGCGAACGGGUGAGUAACACGUGGGUGAUCUGCCCUGCACUUCGGGAUAAGCCUGGGAAACUGGGUCUAAUACCGGAUAGGACCACUGCCUGCAUGGGUGGUGGUGGAAAGCUUUUGCGGUGUGGGAUGGGCCCGCGGCCUGUCAGCUUGUUGGUGGGGUGAUGGCCUACAAAGGCGACGACGGGUAGCCGGCCUGAGAGGGUGACCGGCAACACUGGGAAUGAGACACGGCCCAGACUCCUACGGGAGGCAGCAGUGGGGAAUAUUGCACAAUGGGCGCAAGCCUGAUGCAGCAACGCCGCAUGAGGGAUGACGGCCUUCGGGCUGUAAACCUCUUUUAGUAGGGAAGAAGCGAAAGUGACGGUACCUGCAGAAAAAGCACCGGCUAACUACGUGCCAGCCGCCGCAGUAA
Molecule: ribosomal RNA, 478 nt
Filed under: uncultured bacterium
Lineage: Bacteria
Description: partial 16S ribosomal RNA
Rfam family: Bacterial small subunit ribosomal RNA
Source: RNAcentral